CCCAGGCAGGAAGGGCCGCGCAGCCCUUCUGGAGGCCGAGCUUUGGGAAGGAGGGACGUGGGCCCAGGGCUUCCUUCUGGACAUGGAGUUUCUGCCUGUGUGUUGCAGCGGCUGCUUCCUGGUUUGCUCCUCUCAGAGACUGUGGUUUGUUGAUACAUCUCUAUGCUGCCUAGCAAGAAGCAAAUUCGGCCUAUUUGUCCAGUAUUGGGGUUGCUAGCCCCUUCACAGCCAGAGGCACUCUGAUGCUGGUUUGGAGACGGACCCUCCUGCCAUCAGGCACACUCACUGAGCCCCUUGCUUUGGGUCAUCCUCAUCCUCUGUGAACAAGACAUUCUUAACCGUGGCCUCACUUCGGACCAGUUUAGGGAGAAUUCAGAAUUCAGUAGCCACUGUGGGAAAUGUUCAGCUUUAAGAACACUAGACUGAAGGUGACUCUGAGAAAGGACGCCAUCCACUCAACAGCUUCCUCUGGGUGGCAUUCUGGAGUCUCAAAGUGAAAUAACCGACUCUCACAUAGAAGGGUAGUAAAGGCCCAAAGCCUCACCAUCUGCUGGGAACUUCUGAAGCCGCCUGUCUCCUGCCAGCAGCUUCGUGACCACCACUCACUUCUCUCCUUUUUUGGUUUUCUCUUUUUCCCUCCUGCCUCACCAACACACUACCCUCCUCAGGGUAUCCCCCCAGCCCACCCCCUGUAAAGACACAGCACCUAAUGCAGUGCAUUCUUUGAAUGGGUGAAUACAAAGCCCUGGGGAUGAGCUGAGAUGUCCUAAACCUCAGGAAAACAGAGUCUACGGCAGGCCACAUUUGUCCCGUACUCACUGCCGCAGGCUUUGAGUUCUGAUUCAACGACCGGACUUCCUUCUUAGACCUUAGCAAGGGGAAAAAUGCUUCAAAGCCACAGGAAGGGAGAGCCCCCGUAGGACUGGAAUUCUCUGCUUACACAUGAUUAACGGGGGUGGGGUUAGAAGAUGUGAAAUACAGGAAUGUUCUUUAUGUUCCCUAAAGUAUGAAAACUGGACAAAAUUCAAGGUUGUAAGCAAAUAAAGGCAAAUCAAGAAAAACUUUUAA
Molecule: long non-coding RNA, 1068 nt
Filed under: Ictidomys tridecemlineatus (thirteen-lined ground squirrel)
Lineage: Eukaryota; Metazoa; Chordata; Mammalia; Rodentia; Sciuridae
Description: lncRNA (ENSSTOG00000034302.1)
Source: RNAcentral